RNAcentral lists this long non-coding RNA (282 nucleotides) under Elaeis guineensis (African oil palm). RNAcentral's name for it is "long non-coding RNA (EGUI_LNC045456)". The record is from RNAcentral. Lineage: Eukaryota; Viridiplantae; Streptophyta; Magnoliopsida; Arecales; Arecaceae.
UUUAAUGCAAAUCCAAUAUUUUCAAAUAUUCACACAUAAUAUGAUUAUAAAUCCGAUUCGAUUCAAAACACUCGUAACUCAACAGCCUCGACUAUGACCAACGUUUAACCCCCAUUGGCGGGGUCCACAGAAUACCAGCGCACAACCCCCACUGGCAGGGUCCACAAAUACCAGUGCACAACCCCCACUGGCAGGGUCCACAAACACCAGCGCACAACUCCCACUGGCAGGGUCCACUGAGUACCAACAUAUAAUCCCCAUUAGCGGGGCCCACUGAAACAU